GGGGUGGCUAGGAAAAACUCCCUAGAAAGGCCAGGAACCUAGGAAGAAACCUAGAGAGGAACCAGGCUAUGAGGGGGUGGCUAGGAAAAACUCCCUAGAAAGGCCAGGAACCUAGGAAGAAACCUAGAGAGGAACCAGGCUAUGAGGGGGUGGCCAGUCCUCAUGAUCUGACAAACAUCUUUCAGCGGAGAUGCGGAAGUGCGAAUUUGGCAGAUACGGUGGAUUGAAACGCGUCCAAUUGCAAAAUACAGUUGAAGUCGGAAGUUUACGUACACUUACUAGGUUGGAGUCAUUAAAACUCGUUUUUAAACCACUGCACACAUUUCUCAGAAAAGCUGAGUUUAAAUAUAUUUGGCUAAGGUGUAUGUAAACUUUCGACUUUAACUGUGUAUCAGAUAUCUCUAACUUUAACUGACUGAUUUUGAUGGGGGUUAUAUAAAUGUUAAUUACACUGGCUAAGCAGAAAUCGACUCUAGGGGGUUUAAACAGUGUGUGUUUGAGAAUGUGCCAUUGGGUUGGUCUAUUUCAUAUGUCUCCAUAGAUACCAGCCAUUAGUCUGAUCAAUGAGAGAUGAGCCGGAGCUGUAUAGAAAAUGUCUCUAGAGUCCGAUUGGUCAGAGCAUCAAACUAUUAAAAAUGUCUCUGGAGUUUUGAUUGGUCAGAGCUGCAAACUAUUAAAAGCUAAAUCUGAACAGCUGACACUCUCACGAACAUGUGACAUGUUUUGCUCUAUGAUGCUACACAACAACAGUUGUUAGACUGUAAGGGGUUCUUCUACAUAGACCAUAGUAAAUCCCAGGUCAUAGUGUCUAUAAUACUGUAAGGGGUUCUUCUACAUAGUAAAUCCCAGGACAUAGUGUCUAUAAUACUGUAAGGGGUUCUUCUACAUAGUAAAUCCCAGGACAUAGUGUCUAUAAUACUGUAAGGGGUUCUUCUACAUAGACCAUAGUAAAUCCCAGGACAUAGUGUCUAUAAUACUGUAAGGGGUUCUUCUACAUAGUAAAUCCCAGGACAUAGUGUCUAUAAUACUGUAAGGGGUUCUUCUACAUAGACCAUAGUAAAGCCCAGGACAUAGUAUCUAUAAUACUGUAAGGGGUACUUCUACAUAGAACCAUAGUAAAUCCCAGGACAUAGUGUCUAUAAUACUGUAAGGGGUUCUUCUACAUAGAAGACCAUAGUAAAUCCCAGGUCAUAGUGUCUAUAAUACUGUAAGGGGUACUUCUACAUAGACCAUAGUAAAUCCCAGGACAUAGUGUCUAUAAUACUGUAAGGGGUUCUUCUACAUAGACCAUAGUAAAUCCCAGGACAUAGUGUCUAUAAUACUGUAAGGGGUUCUUCUACAUAGUAAAUCCCAGGACAUAGUGUCUAUAAUACUGUAAGGGGUUCUUCUACAUAGACCAUAGUAAAUCCCAGGACAUAGUGUCUAUAAUACUGUAAGGGGUUCUUCUACAUAGACCAUAGUUAAUCCCAGGUCAUAGUGUCUAUAAUACUGUAAGGGGUUCUUCUACAUAGACCAUAGUAAAUCCCAG
Molecule: long non-coding RNA, 1528 nt
Filed under: Salmo salar (Atlantic salmon)
Lineage: Eukaryota; Metazoa; Chordata; Actinopteri; Salmoniformes; Salmonidae
Description: lncRNA (ENSSSAG00000092785.1)
Source: RNAcentral